GACGAACGCUGGCGGCGUGCCUAAUACAUGCAAGUCGAACGAACCGCGACUGAGUGCUUGCACUUGGUCAAGGUGAGUGGCGAACGGGUGAGUAACACGUGGGUAACCUACCUCAUAGUGGGGGAUAACAGUCGGAAACGACUGCUAAUACCGCAUAGGACAUAGGAUCACAUGAUCCAGUGAGGAAAGGUGGCGCAAGCUAUCGCUAAGAGAUGGACCCGCGGUGCAUUAGCUAGUUGGUAGGGUAAAGGCCUACCAAGGCGAUGAUGCAUAGCCGACCUGAGAGGGUGAUCGGCCACAUUGGGACUGAGACACGGCCCAAACUCCUACGGGAGGCAGCAGUAGGGAAUCUUCCGCAGUGGACGCAAGUCUGACGGAGCAACGCCGCGUGAGUGAAGAAGGUCUUCGGAUCGUAAAGCUCUGUUGUUAGAGAAGAACAGCGCAUAGAGUAACUGCUAUGCGUGUGACGGUAUCUAACCAGAAAGCCACGGCUAACUACGU
RNAcentral lists this ribosomal RNA (501 nucleotides) under uncultured bacterium. Its description in RNAcentral is "partial 16S ribosomal RNA". It matches the Rfam family "Bacterial small subunit ribosomal RNA", at positions 28 to 506 of the family's 1533-position model. The record is from RNAcentral.